This 253-nucleotide ribosomal RNA is filed under the name uncultured bacterium. Its description in RNAcentral is "partial 16S ribosomal RNA". It matches the Rfam family "Bacterial small subunit ribosomal RNA", at positions 524 to 776 of the family's 1533-position model. The record is from RNAcentral.
UACGAAGGGGGCUAGCGUUGUUCGGAUUUACUGGGCGUAAAGCGCACGUAGGCGGAUCGUUAAGUCGGGGGUGAAAUCCUGGAGCUCAACUCCAGAACUGCCUUCGAUACUGGCGAUCUUGAGUCCGGAAGAGGUGAGUGGAACUCCGAGUGUAGAGGUGAAAUUCGUAGAUAUUAGGAAGAACACCAGUGGCGAAGGCGGCUCACUGGUCCGGUACUGACGCUGAGGUGCGAAAGCGUGGGGAGCAAACAGG